AACUGUCAGCUGCUGUGUUCUGCAUUUCCUUUCCCAUCAUUACUAAUUACCAAAUUACCAAGCCAUUCAUUUAUAAAAAGAUGAGCUAGUUAGGUGAACUAGGAAUUGAUAAGAAAUAAUAAAUAAUGCUGAACAGCUGCAGUCAAGUUAAGCCCAAACUUACUCUGUUAAAAAAAGAAAAAAAAAAAGUGUUUUCUUUAGUGCUUCACUUCUGUUAUAGUUUGGCUGUAAUUGGUACUGGUAUCCGUUGUAUCCUUUGAUGAGCAAAAGGAAAGAGUGAAAAAAAUCCUGUGUAUAUAUCCUGUGUACGUGUCCUUCUUCUGAGUGUUUCUGCUCUGUGACCUUGGCAGGUUAAGCUCAAAAUCAAAAAGCUGAAAUUUUUAGUGGCUUUGCAGAAGAAACCCCUGGCCACUCUGGAAAAAGCUUGCAGAUGUAGCAUCUCCUGCUCCCUUUUUGCUUCCUGACAACUCUUUAAGCUCAUUUGUUGUUUUGUCUUCCCCCUUUUUAAAUACACUGUGUUGGGCACACAGCUACUUAAGUAAUUUGGGUCUGAGUCUUAACCAUGGCUUUUAGCCUAAGGUAACAAAGAGAAUCCUUGGCAUAGUGUAAAUGAGAAAACAGAGGCUUGUAGAUUUACCCUGGGGCAUCCAAAAAGUCAGUAGCAGAGCUCCCAGUGCAGUGUGUUCCCCAUUGGACCAUGACGCCGUUUUGACGUAACAGGUUAUAGCAUCACUGAGUGAGUUAAUCCGGCAGGGACAGCACAGGGGUAAGGAGGAAGCAUCUCUAGCAAGUACAUAAAUGCUUUAAUUGCCAGCCAUGCUGGAAGACAAGACUGGAUGACAUACACAUGUACUGGAGGAGGAGAUUACAGGGCCUGCCAUGCCCGUCAAAGCUAGCGUUAGUCCUGCCAUUGUGCUAUGGAUCUCCUCAAAAAUCAUGUAAGCGACAAAUCAAUGCAGCGUCAGGAACACAGAGGUCUAUGAGUGGAGCUGGGUGCAGGGCCCUGGGCACAGACCUUCACCCUGCCAGGGGAUGUUUGGAGGUGGCUGGUGACCCCCCCCCCCAAUCCAAGGAGUCCAUCACACCAUUAAUUUUCCAGGCCUGAAGUGCUAAGAUUACACUGUGCCUAGGGCAGGGAUGGACCAGGGUUAUUUGGAUGGGUAAAUACCCUGUUUUAAGGAGAAGAAGAAAAUAAGAUUUUUAAUGAAUGGUGGGUUUUCUUUGCUUUUCAGGAACGGCAGCCCUUUUGAGCCUUUCAGAGGAUUAGGACACAAAGUGAAACCUGCUAGGACUGGAGUUUCCCUGGGGCUCAGACUCUGCCAGACAGGAGCAAUUCCCAGGGUUUUCAAGGACGGCAUGACACAAUAUGGACUACCUACAAUGAAGACAUAUGAACUCUGGAGCAUACCAAACAAAUUCCUUGCAUACUUGUUUUCCAGCACAGCAUCAAUCACCACAGGGAUGGGAGAGUAUCCAAAACAGCAGGGGAAAAUGCUACAGCUUGCAGUUCUUGGAUUGUAAUUCAUUUAAAGCCAAGCACAUUAACUGUACUGCUCUAACAUCAGAUAGAUACAAAUCUCUUUUUUCCUUCUGCCCAUUUGCUAUCUGCAAAGGAUUGAGAUUCAAUAUUUAAAGUUGCCCAGUGUAGAUCCUCAGCUGGUGUAAAGUGGCAUAACUGAGCUCAACAGCUGUCCCUGGUCUUUGAACGCAAUGGAGCUAUGCUGAUUUACAUCUGCUGAGGUCUGAUCUAUCACUAUAUUUCCUUGGCUUUUUUUUCAUGGUUUGUUUUUCUUUUCCUUUUGCUUGACAAAAUAAAU
This is a long non-coding RNA of Dromaius novaehollandiae (emu), 1817 nucleotides long. RefSeq lists it as uncharacterized. The transcript is spliced from 3 exons. The record is from RefSeq and is a predicted model, not a curated record. NCBI's taxonomy places the organism in Eukaryota, Metazoa, Chordata, Aves, Casuariiformes, Dromaiidae.